RNAcentral lists this non-coding RNA (22 nucleotides) under Arabidopsis thaliana (thale cress). Lineage: Eukaryota; Viridiplantae; Streptophyta; Magnoliopsida; Brassicales; Brassicaceae. The record is from RNAcentral.
AGGGUUAGGGCAUUUUCUUCAA